Salvelinus sp. IW2-2015 is the source of this 962-nucleotide long non-coding RNA. RefSeq lists it as uncharacterized. The record is from RefSeq and is a predicted model, not a curated record. Lineage: Eukaryota; Metazoa; Chordata; Actinopteri; Salmoniformes; Salmonidae.
CUGAAGCCCGACACACGGAAGAAAUCCAAACGCAAGACGUCUGUGAUUAAAAAGACCCRUAACCCUGAAUUCAAUGAGGAAUUAUUUUAUGAGAUCUCCAUGUCAGAGCUGUCCAAUAAGACUCUCUGGAGGUCACUGUCUGGGACUACGACUUGGGACGAUCCAAUGACUUCAUAGGUGGAGUGUGCCUGAGCUGUCACUCACAGGGAGACCCCCUCCGCCAGUGGAGCGCUGGCACAUACUGACCAAUGAGCUCCCAAGAUCCGUAAGUCAUGAAUAAGGCCACACAUCUACUGAGACACAAGGCUGAGUCCCAAUUCUUCACCCUUCUCCCAAAGUUGCACACUUCCAGUCAUGGAUAUAUCAACGGUGGAAACUCCUUCAAGGCAAGUGUGGAGAAUUUGACACAGAUCAAAUCAUCCCUCUAGCYCCCUACCACCUAGGAAUUCYUAUAGAUCUGAGAGGAUUGGAUAGACCAAAAAUAUGGGGGAAAUUCCACCUAGCUUAUCAKAACGCAAGGGGGAAGCCAUGACCAUAUUGAUCUGGAUCCUAUUGAAACCUUUCAGAUCUACUGUAGUGYCUAAGUGGUAGGGGUUAUGGGUCGAUUUGGAACUCAGCGAAGUUGAAGCAUUUMUAAGCGCUCUCUAGAGCCCUGUUGAUACCUGGUUCUAACGUGCGUCCAUCUUCCUGAUAUUUUCCUUAUCUURUCUGUCUAGACCUAUUCCACAAUCAGAUAGCAAUGCGUCUUUUAAUCGUCUACACCCGUCUAAAAAUGUGGGCACAAUCCAAAUGUGGACAGGAUCAGGACAAAGGACACAUGUUAGCAGCAGGUAUAAAUGGGGAUGACUUGCCACAGGAUGGGAUGCACUACCCGUAUGUUUCUAUGUCUAUAAAGGUGAUUCAAACCUACACACAGUAACACACCAUGGAAAUUAUACAUGCUGAAUAAAAGUCAUACACAA